UAUGGUCAUAUACAUUUGUUAUAUUUAAUUGACAUUUCCUAAUUACUAAAGUUUUACAUUAUCCUUGCCAAACAAUCAUAAUUCUUCUGUAAAUUACUGGAGCAUAGAUUCAAAUUAUCUUCUGUUGAUAAACGACUUCUAGCUCAUGUGGAUACCUUUGACCUUACCAACCUUUAAGCUGUAUGUCAUUAGAAUGUUCCUAUCUUCUGACAACUUAAGAGGCCACCUAAAGGUAUCAAAAGGAUUUUGGCUGACUUUGUACUUUUUCCAACCGGAUGCAUUUCCUGCUUUUAGAAUAGAGUGAAUAGAAAGUUAUCCAGUGGUCAUCUAUCAGAUCCCGCUUCAUCUACAUUAAACCCGGACGUCAUCAUAGACAAUCUGCGCAUGCACAGAAGCUCGUGUGCUCCCAUUGCGAACUGGUAGUAAAGCAGGAACCUCCCUAUGGAAUUCACCAUCUGGCGUUGCAUUACAUUCAGCUGCCUGAGGGACAACUGAUCAACCACAUCAAGGGAAUCUUGAUUUAGAUUUUGAGCACAAACAAGAGGAUCUCUAACCCAACCUUUUACAAUUUGAUGUUCCUGCCAGAAGUGUUUGGAGCUUCACCCUCAGCAUUCCCUGCCUGUAAGCCGAUCAUGAGUUCAUAGAGUUGGCAAAAGCUAAUCUAGGUCCUUGCAUUACAUCAUUGUGCUAGAAUAAACUCAUUUAAACUAACUGAUUUCCACUAUUUUUGUAAUAUGCUGCUUCUGCUGUGUGGGGAACUGCAUUGUCCUCAUAGGGAAAGAAGAUAAGAAUGAGCAGAUAAACAUGGAGAACUUGUGUGUAUAAGUACAUGAAUCAGCUUGCCAGUACAAGGGAAGCUUGUUUCCUUGCCAACAAGGAUAAAUGGACCCUGAGUUA
This is a long non-coding RNA of Pantherophis guttatus, 897 nucleotides long. RefSeq lists it as uncharacterized. The record is from RefSeq and is a predicted model, not a curated record. Lineage: Eukaryota; Metazoa; Chordata; Lepidosauria; Squamata; Colubridae.